CAUAAUUUUGCUUGGGCUGCCGCGCGAGAGGAGGAAGUGUUGUUGUGAGUGAGAAAUGGAGACCAUAACGAAGAUGGAAAAGGAAAACUCAGUUGAGUCGCUUAAAACAGUACCGUUUAAGAGGAGACCUCGGUUGGAAAAGCUGCGAGUGAAAGCACUCGAACCGGACUAGCCGGACAUUGUUUUAAGACAACAGUCGCAAGACGGGAAAAGACUUUACACUCGCUAUUUUUCACGCUGCUGGUAUGCUAAGAAGUCUUGGCUAACCGGAUGUCCUGAAGCUGGUGCUUUAUUUUGCUUCCCCUGCCUCAAACGCCGAGAACUGAAAAACCAUGGAUGGACUCUGGUGUCACUGGUAUGAAGCAUUUUGCCGAAAAAGCGAAACGGUAUUAACAAGCUAUGUGCCACAUUGAAAACGCAGUAGGACUUGAUGUUUGGGAGAGCAAGAGGAAAGUGAAUAUUCAGAAAACCCAGACAUUUCUGCAAGACUUGUGCGUUUUGCAGACGCAGCCGUACAAGAACAUCUACAGGCGGCAACUGAGUUUGAAGGGGACAUCGAAGUCAGUACUAAAUGAACUGCUCGACUGUAUGCUCUUAGUUUUGAGAGAGCACAUCAUUGAAGAACUCAGGAAUGCUGACUUUAUCUCCAUCCAGGUUGAUGAAACGAUGGGCACUGCCACUCAGGGUCUAUUGGUGUUUAUGGUCUGCUUUAUUGACAAAACCCAUGAUGUACAGGAGACGUUUUUUGAGUUCAUACCUCUCCAGAGUGCCACAUGUGAUUCAAUCACCACAGCACUCCUGGACAAAUUAUGCACAAUCCUCCCUGAUGACCAGAAAAGCAAGCUCAUUUCACAGACAUAUACGAUGGUGGAGUUGUCAUGAGAGGAGCCACAGGUGGUGUGCAGAAGACAGUGAAGGAUGUGUAUGAGUAUGCACACUACGUCCACUGUUAUGCUGCUCAUCAAGUUGAUGUCUUAAUCUCAUCUCACUGAAAUCAGACAGUUCUUCUUUUAUAUAGCUGGAUUCUCUAGCUUUUUGGAGGACAAUAAUUUCAACUUCUUCCUGGAACUGAUCCAUCGCAUAAUUCCCCACGUGGACUAACUUUACAGUCAGCUCCAGAAGCAGUCCAUCGCCUCAGCCUUUGUCAACAAAGUCAUGCAGCAGUUCACGGAUGACUUGCAAAACGUCAGAGAUUCCCUUUCUUCUCUCUGUGAAGAAUAUGAUGGCAGCGCACAACAGCUGAAGGCCAAGAAAUGUCGCACACUUGGAAGGUGAACUUUAGAGAGUAGCUACAGAGGUUUGUGACAGUAUCUUGGGCCAUACAAAGGAAAGGUUUGCCUUCCCUGAGCAUCUGAUCUGUGCUACACUGCUGCACGGAAACAAAUUCAAGGACCAACCAAGACCAACCAGUUCCCUGAAGCAGCGUUGGACACCACCAUUGCGACGUACCCACUGCUGAACAAGCGCAAGCUGAAAACUGAACUCUCAGUGAUGUACGACUAUAACGAGUUCAGGGACUGCUCCGAUUUUUUGGCUCUGUUACAGUUCUUCACAGCAAACAAUCUCCAAGAUACCUUUUCAGAAACUGUAACUCUCCUAAAGAUCCUCAUCACAACUCCUAUGACGACGCCUGAGUCGCAGAGAAGCUCCUCAGAGCGAGCAAGAAUCAAGAACUUCCUCAGCAGCACAAAGGCGCAGGAUCGUCUCAAUGCACUGGUCAUGCUCUCUAUGGAAAAGAACCUCGUCAAAGAAAUUCCCGAUUUUAACCAUCGAGUUGUUGAGAGAUUUGCAAGUCUGGAGGUGAGAAAGGAGAAAUUUACAUACAAAACUUAAUCUGUGUUCUGUGGUCAAACAAUGACUCUUUUUGCUGUUUUUUUAUUUCAUUGAUUUUCCAAAUGGCACACUAGGAAGUGUUAUGUUUCAGUUUUCAGAUUUUGACAAAUCUAUUUCUAUACAUUUACAAACUAAAAUGUUAUACAUUUGCUUAUUAAAUGGGAGUAUUUUUCUACUUUCAUUGUCAUACUGCUUAUUAUCUUAUUAGCUGGGCUUGAGCAGAUUCUUAGGUAUGGUCGUUUUUAAUGUGGAAGUUAUUCUUUUUUGUUGAAAAGCAUUAUCAGGCAAGUAUUGCUCCAAGCAAAGGAUUUAAGUAAAGCCAUGUUUCCAUCAGGGUACAGUACAGUUCAGUUUGGUACAGUAUGGUACGGACAUCUGUUGAAAAACACGCUGCACAGGGGGGGUUGCAUUUUUCUGUUGCCCAAUCAGCUGGCUGUCGUGGGUAGAGCACGUCUAGCGGCCUGUACCGUACCAUUUUACUAUGGUACUGAAAAAUGGAAUGGUAUGGGGCUGGUUAUUUUUGAUUUACUAUUCCUAAUGCAAACAAACACCAAACUGUUGCACUUGAUAGAAACACAGCUCAAGUACACUGGUGGGAGGUGAAUGGUUAAAAACUAACUUUAGCCCACCACUUGAUUUGAUGCAUUUCACAUGGUGGUCUGGUGGAUAGCACUGUUGCCUCACAGCAAGAAGACUCUGGUUCAUGACCCAGUCCAACCAGCUGCCUUUCUGUGUGGAGUUUACAUGUUCUCGCCAUGGGUGCGUGGGUUUCUCCAGUUUCCUCCUGCGGUUUAGAAACAUGUGGAGGUUAAUGAGACACUCUAAAUUGACUGUAGGCGUGAAUGGUUAUAGUUAGGGGAUGGUUAUUUGUGACCUUCACGUGGAGGAGUCGAGGGUUGAAUGUGAAAAAUUAAGGUUCAGGGUUUCUGACACGAAGCGAUGUAUAAAAAAAGACUGUUGAUUCGGACACCUAUAACUGGGGGACCUAAGUAACAUAGGGGACCUAUGUAAUAUUCAAAUCGCUCUACAUUUAUUUAAUUUUUGUGAAUAAAAAAACAUUG
Molecule: long non-coding RNA, 2894 nt
Organism: Solea senegalensis (Senegalese sole)
Lineage: Eukaryota; Metazoa; Chordata; Actinopteri; Pleuronectiformes; Soleidae
Exons: 3
Source: RefSeq, a predicted model, not a curated record